UACGUAGGGUGCGAGCGCUAAUCGGAAUUACUGGGCGUAAAGCGUGCGCAGGCGGCUUUGCAAGACAGAUGUGAAAUCCCCGGGCUCAACCUGGGAACUGCAUUUGUGACUGCAAGGCUAGAGUACGGCAGAGGGGGAUGGAAUUCCGCGUGUAGCAGUGAAAUGCGUAGAUAUGCGGAGGAACACCAAUGGCGAAGGCAAUACCCUGGGCCUGUACUGACGCUCAUGCACGAAAGCGUGGGGAGCAAACAGG
RNAcentral lists this ribosomal RNA (253 nucleotides) under uncultured bacterium. Its description in RNAcentral is "partial 16S ribosomal RNA". It matches the Rfam family "Bacterial small subunit ribosomal RNA", at positions 524 to 776 of the family's 1533-position model. The record is from RNAcentral.